AGAAUCUUUCGCAAUGGGCGCAAGCCUGACGAAGCGACGCCGUGUGAGCGGAGAAGGCCUUCGGGUUGUAAAGCUCUUUCGCCAGGGAACAAGAGAUAUGGGACAAUACCCCAUAGAUUUGCUGGUACUUGGUAAAGCAGCACCGGCUAACUCCGUGCCACCAGCUGCGGUAAUACGGAGGGUGCAAGCCUUGAUCGGAAUUACUGGGCGUAAAGGGCGCGUAGGCGGUGCAAUAAGUCAGAUGUGAAAUUCCGGGGCUCAACCCCGGAGCGGCAUUUGAAACUGUUGCGCUAGAGUACAGUUAGGGUAAACGGAAUUCCACGUGUAGCGGUGAAAUGCGUAGAUAUGUGGAAGAACACCGGUGGUGAAGACGGUUUACUGGACUGUAACUGACGCUGAGGCGCGAAAGCAUGGGGAGCAAAC
This 423-nucleotide ribosomal RNA is filed under the name uncultured bacterium. RNAcentral's name for it is "bacterial SSU rRNA". It matches the Rfam family "Bacterial small subunit ribosomal RNA", at positions 358 to 773 of the family's 1533-position model. The record is from RNAcentral.